Molecule: ribosomal RNA, 440 nt
Filed under: uncultured bacterium
Lineage: Bacteria
Description: partial 16S ribosomal RNA
Rfam family: Bacterial small subunit ribosomal RNA
Source: RNAcentral
CCUACGGGAGGCAGCAGUGGGGAAUAUUGCACAAUGGGGGAAACCCUGAUGCAGCGACGCCGCGUGAGUGAAGAAGUAUCUCGGUACGUAAAGCUCUAUCAGCAGGAAAGAAAAUGACGGUACCUGACUAAGAAGCCCCGGCUACUUACGUGCCAGCAGCCGCGGCAAUACGUAGGGGGCAAGCGUUAUCCGGAUUUACUGGGUGUAAAGGGAGCGUAGACGGCGAUGCAAGUCCGAGGUGAAAGCCCAUGGCUUAACCAUGGUACUGCACUGGAAACUGUAGAGCUUGAGUGCGGGAGAGGCAGGCGGAAGUCCUGGUGUAGCGGUGAAAUGCGUAGAUAUUAGGAGGAACACCGGCGGCGAAGGCGGCCUGCUGGACCGUAACUGACGUUGAGGCUCGAAAGCGUGGGGAGCAAACAGGAUUAGAUACCCGGGUAGUC